AUUGAACGCUGGCGGCAUGCCUUACACAUGCAAGUCGAACGGUAACAGCACUUCGGUGGCUGACGAGUGGCGAACGGGUGAGUAAUACAUCGGAACGUGCCCGAGAGUGGGGGAUAACGCAGCGAAAGCUGUGCUAAUACCGCAUACGAUCUAUGGAUGAAAGCGGGGGAUCGCAAGACCUCGCGCGAAUGGAGCGGCCGAUGUCAGAUUAGGUAGUUGGUGGGGUAAAGGCUCACCAAGCCAACGAUCUGUAGCUGGUCUGAGAGGACGACCAGCCACACUGGAACUGAGACACGGUCCAGACUCCUACGGGAGGCAGCAGUGGGGAAUUUUGGACAAUGGGGGCAACCCUGAUCCAGCCAUGCCGCGUGAGUGAAGAAGGCCUCGGUUGUAAGACUCUUCUAGACGGAAGAAACGACAUACGGUGAAUAACCGGUCGUGGAGUGACGGUACCGUAACGAAGAAGACACCGGCGUAACUACGUAGCCAGCAGCCGG
This 497-nucleotide ribosomal RNA is filed under the name uncultured bacterium. Its description in RNAcentral is "bacterial SSU rRNA". It matches the Rfam family "Bacterial small subunit ribosomal RNA", at positions 29 to 518 of the family's 1533-position model. The record is from RNAcentral.